GAUGAACGCUAGCGGCAGGCCUAAUACAUGCAAGUCGAACGGAUAUAUGUUUUUCGGUAAUAUAUAUUAGUGGCGCACGGGUGAGUAACACGUACAUAACUUGCCCUCAAGCGGGGGAUAGCCUUGGGAAACUGAGAGUAAUACCCCAUAGAAUUAUUGGACGGCAUCGUUUGAUAAUUAAAACUACGGUGUUUGGGGAUAGAUGUGCGUCUGAUUAGCUAGUUGGUGAGGUAACUGCUCACCAAGGCGACGAUCAGUAGGGGGCGUGAGAGCGUGGCCCCCCACACGGGUACUGAGACACGGACCCGACUCCUACGGGAGGCAGCAGUAAGGAAUAUUGGUCAAUGGAGGGAACUCUGAACCAGCCAUGCCGCGUGAAGGAUGACGGCCCUCUGGGUUGUAAACUUCUUUUGGAUGGGGCGAAAAAACGGGAUUUAUCCUGGACUGACGGUACCAUCAGAAUAAGCACCGGCUAACUCCGUGCCAGCAGCCGCGGUAAAG
RNAcentral lists this ribosomal RNA (501 nucleotides) under uncultured bacterium. RNAcentral describes it as "bacterial SSU rRNA". It matches the Rfam family "Bacterial small subunit ribosomal RNA", at positions 28 to 525 of the family's 1533-position model. The record is from RNAcentral.